GCGAGGGUAUCUAAGCCAGGCCAAAAGAGGUGGACUUAAGAUCCAUUCCCGCAGGGGUCCGUGGGUUCGAAUCCCACCCCUCGCA
This 85-nucleotide transfer RNA is filed under the name Methanofollis sp. W23. RNAcentral's name for it is "tRNA-Leu". It matches the Rfam family "tRNA". From Rfam's summary of the family: Transfer RNA (tRNA) molecules are approximately 80 nucleotides in length. Their secondary structure includes four short double-helical elements and three loops (D, anti-codon, and T loops). Further hydrogen bonds mediate the characteristic L-shaped molecular structure. tRNAs have two regions of fundamental functional importance: the anti-codon, which is responsible for specific mRNA codon recognition, and the 3' end, to which the tRNAs corresponding amino acid is attached (by aminoacyl-tRNA synthetases). tRNAs cope with the degeneracy of the genetic code in two manners: having more than one tRNA (with a specific anti-codon) for a particular amino acid; and 'wobble' base-pairing, i.e. permitting non-standard base-pairing at the 3rd anti-codon position. The record is from RNAcentral. Lineage: Archaea; Methanobacteriati; Methanobacteriota; Methanomicrobia; Methanomicrobiales; Methanomicrobiaceae.